CAGUCGCCGCGGUAAUACGGAGGGAGCUAGCGUUGUUCGGAAUUACUGGGCGUAAAGCGCGCGUAGGCGGUUACUCAAGUCAGAGGUGAAAGCCCGGGGCUCAACCCCGGAACUGCCUUUGAAACUAGGUGACUAGAAUCUUGGAGAGGUCAGUGGAAUUCCGAGUGUAGAGGUGAAAUUCGUAGAUAUUCGGAAGAACACCAGUGGCGAAGGCGACUGACUGGACAAGUAUUGACGCUGAGGUGCGAAAGCGUGGGGAGCAAACAGGAUUAGAGACCCCGGUAGUCCCUGUCUCUUAUAC
This 301-nucleotide ribosomal RNA is filed under the name uncultured bacterium. RNAcentral describes it as "partial 16S ribosomal RNA". It matches the Rfam family "Bacterial small subunit ribosomal RNA", at positions 509 to 807 of the family's 1533-position model. The record is from RNAcentral.